UGGGAAGAGAAGUUUUCUUUCCGACCCUAUGUAGUUCUUGAGGGAGAGAAGCGUGCAGAGAGUCACGCAGUGUAGCCCAAUCACGUGGACUAACCGUUCAUUCGUGGGAGGAGGAGGAGACUGGCGGAAUUUCCCUGAGAUUUUGACUCCUAGAUCCAAAGAAAACUUGCAAUGACUUGGCAUCUUUAAAUUAGACUUACCAUUUAUGUGCUCAUCACAUGUUCCCAAGAAACCCAAACUUGCCGCAAACUGCACUGCUGUUCUAACUCUUCCAGAAGAGGGAGAGGAAGAGUUGUGCAUGCACAGAAGAUGGUGCUCUCAGCCAGGUGUAUGUACAGCUAGAUUGCACCCCCUCAAAAAAAAAAAAAACCCUCAAAGGAAUGCUUUGCAGCUUGGCGAGGGAAGGAGCCACAUGUUCACCUAAGUGCUUCCUAGCAUAAGACAAAGGUUUUAUUAGACAUGAAUAUAAGAAGUAGGAACUGUAGAAAAAUUCUUCUGCUAGUACAUAGCAGACUAUACUUCAAAUGAAUGAGACAUCCUGACAUACGGAGAAUAUUUCUAAAAACAUGGAGAAAUUGUGACGGCUUUUGUUGAUUUAUCUUUAGCUGAAGGUGUACUUAAAGGAAUAAAAACCGAUACAGUGUG
This is a long non-coding RNA of Hemicordylus capensis (graceful crag lizard), 645 nucleotides long. RefSeq lists it as uncharacterized. The record is from RefSeq and is a predicted model, not a curated record. The transcript has 2 exons. NCBI's taxonomy places the organism in Eukaryota, Metazoa, Chordata, Lepidosauria, Squamata, Cordylidae.